RNAcentral lists this long non-coding RNA (1571 nucleotides) under Canis lupus familiaris (dog). RNAcentral's name for it is "lncRNA (ENSCAFG00040005497.1)". The record is from RNAcentral. Lineage: Eukaryota; Metazoa; Chordata; Mammalia; Carnivora; Canidae.
CAUGCUCGUCCCGGGCGGCCUGGCCUCCAGCCGCCUGGGUGCGUGCGCAAGGAGCUCCCCGGCCGUGCUGCCUGACAUUUGCAAUCGUUUAAUGGGAACAAGUUCCAUCUUUGAGCUCUGCUCAGCCUUUCAUACAGCAGCCAAACUGUCCACCCCGGACGGGACAUAAAUCCUGCUGGCGAGUCACUGUUCCCCUCCCGGAGCGGCUUCGUUCCCAGAGCUCGCCCGGGCAGCUGUUUGCACCCCAGCGCCCCGGUUUGGGGCAGGCCCCGGGGAACACAUGGGGUGCAGAGGAGAGAGCGCUGUAUCGCCAGCCGAGGAGCAGCAUUCCAGGCUGGUUCCCAACUCCAGUGAAAGUAGAAACACGUGUCCUGAAGAGUCUCCGUUGCCCGCCGGCCGCCGUGGGGCAGGCGCUGAACUCCAGGUAGGAGCUGCCCCUGGGGGGAGAGGGGUGCCCAACCCACCCGGUGCCCCACGAGUUUUGCCAACACCUGCAUACACAGGGGGGGGGGGGCGGGCCGGGCCUCCACGCCCCAGACCAGGAGCCGGGGCAUAGCAGCCUCUGCACGGUGCUCCUUACCCCUUACCUGCUGUGUGACUUCAGGCAACGCUCCUUGCCUCUCUGGGCCUGAGAGUCUUUUUUAAAAUGCAAGUUAUCAUUCCAGUCCUGGAGGAUUGGAGGAUCGGAAUCAUCCGAGAGAAGAAGGAAGGGUCUUAAAAUUUAGGCACAUAGUGCUUUGCCCGGGGGUGGGGUGGGUGGGUGUUUGGGAAAUAUUUUUCUUUUCUGGCUUUUGCUCCUGCAAAAUUUUUAAAAAACAUUUUAUUCAUCUUUGAGAGAGAGAGAGAGAGAGAGAGAACGAGCAGGGGGAGGGGCAGAGGGACAAGCAGACUGCCUGCUGGGAACAGAGCUCCCCCGUCCCACGACCCUGAGAUCAUGACCUGAGCCAAAGCCAGAUGCUUAACCGACUGAGCCACCCAGGUGCCCCUGCUCCUGCGGAUUUAGAAAAGGAAUCAGGGACGCCUGGCGGCUCCAUGGUUGAGCAUCUGCCUUGGGCCCAGGUCAUGACCCUGGGGUCCUGGGAUUGAGUCCCAUGUCGGGCUCCCUGCAUGGAGCCUGCUUCUCCUCUGCCUGUGUCUCUGCCUCUCUCUGUGUCUCUCAUGAAUAAAUAAAUAAAAUCUUUAAAAAAGAAAAAAGAAAAGGAAUCAGCCAGGCCUUCCCUUCGCAUGCUGUCUGUCUGACAGCCCAAGGGAGGGGCCGGUGAAGCUCAGAUACUCUUUGUUGGCCUGUCUGCCUUGCACUCAGUGCCCACCUCCACUUCUCAUGGCCACAGCUCCCUGAGAAGGCUCUAGAAUGCCAGAUUGUUGGCUCCCUAGGUGGGGCGGGGAGCUGCCCAGCGGCCUCCUCGGUACCCCCGCAGGCUGUGGCACAGCGCAGAGGCAGGCUGGGAGCCGCUGGUGUGCUUGUCUCCCCUUCCAUCUCUUGGCCGUUCCUCCCUUCCCCUGCCCGUGGCCCCAGGUGAGGCGCCCAGGUGUGCGGGGGUGAGGGCUGUGGCCAGCUACCCCCCGCCCCC